RNAcentral lists this ribosomal RNA (371 nucleotides) under uncultured bacterium. RNAcentral describes it as "bacterial SSU rRNA". It matches the Rfam family "Bacterial small subunit ribosomal RNA", at positions 28 to 394 of the family's 1533-position model. The record is from RNAcentral.
GAUGAACGCUAGCGGCAGGCCUAAUACAUGCAAGCCGAACGGCAAUCCCGCCAGCAAUGGCGGGACUAGAGUGGCGCAAGGGUGCGUAACACGUAUGCAAUCUGCCCACAACAGGAGGACAGCUCCCCGAAAGGGGAAUUAACCCUCCAUGGGACCACACGAGGGCAUCCGAGAGUGGUUAAACCAAAAGGGGUUGUGGAUGGGCAUGCGGUUGAUUAGCUGGUUGGAGGGUAACGGCCUACCAAGGCGAUGAUCAAUAGGGGAACUGAGAGGUUUGUCCCCACACUGGCACUGAGAUACGGGCCAGACUCCUACGGGAGGGCAGCAGUAAGGGGAAUAUUGGAACAAUGGGCGCAAGCCUGAUCCAGCCA